This is an RNA transcript of Leucoraja erinaceus (little skate), 5439 nucleotides long. It is a transcript of the gene named DNA-binding death effector domain-containing protein 2-like, with no coding region annotated. The transcript has 3 exons. Lineage: Eukaryota; Metazoa; Chordata; Chondrichthyes; Rajiformes; Rajidae. The record is from RefSeq and is a predicted model, not a curated record.
CUAUGUUUUCCCUGCCCAGUCAUUGUGCUUGCUUUAAUGUUACACACAGUUUUCAGCGCCACCUCUUUAAGGAUAGUUUUUUUUGUGUGGCUGUCUGCUCAACUCUGCCUAGAUGGUUGCACAUUCAUCAACCAACGCUGAGUUUAUUGGGUAUUAAAUCCUACUGGUUUUUAAUUACGGCAAAUGCCCUCGAUGUGAAAUGGAAUUAUUGUAAUAUUGAAAGAUCGAGGGGGGGUGGGGGGUGGUUUAGACACGGCAUGUUCGCGGGUCACAAUGAACGGGGCACCAGCAGAGAUAUGUCCUGUUAAUGAAUGCUUACUCAGAUUAGCAGUUGCUAAUAUCUCACCACCCCUAGAAGAUUGGUCAGUGCAAAAUUCAUCUCUGGUCUUCACCAGAUGAAAGUGAUUAUUCUGUGGACAGUUCAGUUUCCAGUAAUCACAGCAGCAAAACAGCUUUGCCAGAUUGGAUGUGUUUUCUUCCCCACCCCCCUCCACCCCCCACUCUGGGGACACACCACACUAUUCUGGAAGAAAUAUUUAGCUGUGCCUUUGGGGGUAGCACCUCAUGUUAAAGCUGCCUUUGCGAUCCUUUUUCUGAUAUGUAAAAUUCCAGUUUUAAUAGCCAUGUGUACAAGAGGGUUUCUAAAUAAUAGUGCCGGGUCAGUGAAGAGUGACUGUACAACGAAUAACUCUGAGGCAAUGGUACGGCCUUUUAAGACCAUUUUUCCGAUCAAAUUCUUAAUGUCUCAUUUCUUGCGUAGUUGGGUUGGGGAGGUAGCGAUUUGGUGCAGAAAUCUGUACCUGUGCCCACAAGUCAAUACUUACAUGGUGUCCAUCUUGGAACGAUUAGGGUGGGUUUUUUUGGUUUUUUUUGCCCUUAAGUCCAUAAUGUUCAAUCCACUUCAAGCACCAUAGUACGAGACUUCAAUCUGUAAACAACCGCAAGAGUAGAGCCUACACAAGCAAAAACAAGUGUCGGAAGGAAGCACGAUGUCUGCAUACUUCCUGGUUACCCAACGGUCAAAUGCUCACAGACUGGUCUUCGAUAGAAUUUUACUAAUCCUGCACAUCUAAUGCUGUUUUAAUACCAGAGAUUUCUUUCUUUUUACCCAACAAUGACAAACUUGUCGCAGCCUUUGAUGUCUGCUGGUAUAACUUCAUCUAACUGAUGGGUGGAUAAGUGCAUGGCAUCUCAAUGUUCAGUCACUUAACUGCAUGCCUGGAGCUUGAUGUGGUGAUUGGCUUCCCUGGUAGUUCAGUAAAGUGCUCAGUCAAGUAGAGAACACUCAGUUCCAGACUUGUCGUACUUUAACGUAUACCAUAUACCAUUGUUGGUCACGGCGGUAUGUGUCCCCUCCCCCUCCCCCCACGCUGGGAACUGGAUUGACCCCUGAUUUACCUCGCUCACUUAGCAACAGAAGUCGCAGGUUCUGCUACUUUAGAGAUAUUUCCCUCCAAAAAUGUAUUUCCUGCUCCAAGAUUAUUGCCAAAAGGCAAUGGGAGUUUUGACAAUGUCCAAUAUUUUUCAUCCCGGGUGCAUGAGAUUUAACCAUCCAUAACUUUGCCACUAUCUUUAUUCAUUCUGCUGCUAAAAGAUAGACCUGCACACUGCCCCCCUCCCCUUGUUGACAACAGAAUUCUGGGCACUUUAUGGAUGGGAUUAACGUAGAGGUCGGUCGGCUACAGAAUCAAAUUUACCAAUCAAUGUGGAAAUCAAAGCUAGACUCAAAGCUGAAGUGGGACAGGCAGUUUCUUAACUCAGUGGGACAGGCAGUAUCUCAAGAGAAGGAAUGGUCCCUCCUUCUUGAGACCUGAAAUGUCACCCAUUCCUUCUCUCCAGAGAUGCUGCCUGUCCCGCUGAGUUAAGGCCCUGUCCCACUUUCCGGAGUUACGAACUCUCCCGCAUUUUUCCCUUGAUUCGAACUCGGAGAAUUACGGUAAUAGCCGUUCGUAAGUACUCGGGGCUAUUUUUUUCAUGUUGAACAUGUUGAAAAAACGUCCCGACUUACCUGAUGCCCCGAGUUCCUACGCUGACAUUCUGAGCCGCUACGAAACAUCUGCGGGCUCGCUGCUGAUGUUACCCGACAUUCCCCAAGUUCGAAUCAAGGGGAAAACUCGGGAGAGCUUGUGAGUAACUCGGGAAAUUGCGACAGGGUCUCAACUCCAGCUUUUUGUGUCUAUCUUCGGUUUAAACUAGCAUCUGCAGUUCCUUCCUACACAAUGUGGCAAUCAAGCUUUCAGCUCUCAAAUGAGAAAUGUAACCUUUGACAACUAGCUGCAAAACCUCUAACAUCCAGUGAGCAGGGAGGGGCUUGCUCUUGUUUCCAUUACUCAUGUUUAAGUAGCCAGUGUGCACCAGUCUGUGAGCAUAUUGUAAUAACUGCACAGUUGAAAGUGCUGGGCGUUGUGUUUCUCAAUCAGCUGGGAUGGUGGACAGCAAGCAGUCUUGAGUUCAGCUGCACAAGAGGACAGCAACCCUACAGGCAGGCACCCACCCUGUCAAUUUGUGGACAGCUAGCUUCUUGAGCCAUGGUGGACCUUCCCCUCAGAGUUGUUUUUCUUGCAUUUUCACACUUGAGUGGUAAAUAAAUAAAUAACUGGCUUGAGGAUUUAAAAAAAAAAAAAAAAAAAGUUUUUUUGUGGAACGAAACGUUACUUUGCGAAAAGUCUGGUGAAAUGUGUUGAUCCUGUUUGUGUCCAUGUUGCCUAAGUGACAGCAAUCCUUCUGAGCGAUCUGCGAUCUGUGUUCAAAUGAAGAGUCUCUCUAUGCACACGUUCUUUCAAAAAACAUAGGUUGGCUCUCUUGCAGUACAGCUCCCUUCAUGAAGUGGCAACAGAAGUUUCUGUUCCACAGUUAACACUCUGCAGCAGGAUGAUAAAGUAGACGCACAGAAAAAAAGCUGGUGGGCUAAUUGUCACCACCCAAAAAACGCAGGAGUUAAAACAAACGUUCCCCCUCACCUUGACGGGAACCAACUUGCAUAGGAAUUCCACUUCUGUUUCUUCGUUGUCUUUUGGACUCAGUUGCCACAAAAUGAAGCUUGAGAUUCACAGCUGGAGUUGGGGAUGCUCUUUAUCCCUUUCAAUGACCAAAGGUUGGAAAAUGUCAAUGAAUGCUCCUGUUCAGAAAUGUGUCUCCAUGUCCUGGAUACUUCUCCGCCCUGCCGCUCCGUUUCACAUCCACUUGGGGGGAAAAAACAAGCCUGUGACAGGAUAUAAAAGUUGUACUGAUGCCUACUGUGUGUUCAAGAUUAUACAAGUACCAUGGGAGAGGUUGGAUUUAUUAAAAAAAAACAAACAAAAUUGCUGGCAAAGGCUCUCCUGCCCAGACAAAGCUCGGCCGAGUGUAAAAUUCAAAUUCGGAGGUGAACUCAGUUUUUGGGUCCACUCCACUUCAGCCAUUUCAAAGUCCAAAAGUGUGCAAGGAAAUGACUCUCAAACACGUCCGAUGCUUCAGGGAAUGGUUAAAAGCGCAUCCAGUCCUUUGUUGCCUCUCUGAAGGCCCGUGGUGGUUCGGCAUUUUCUGGAAAAGCUCUUCCACCCAGGAGGUUUGCGAUCUGCUGGCGGGACAGGCACGUGCGUUAAUUGGCGUUUUCGACAGUGGCGGCCCUCGCUGGCGGAGCGGGCCGCCGCAGCUGCCUGGUGUUAAUGCUACAAAUGUUGACAGGUGCUCUCUCGGGGUAUCUGGCUCUGUGCUGGCCCCAAGGUUCUGCAGAUGAAGCAAAGCCCGGCAUCUGGACUGUGCUGCCUAAAACAAGCCAGCCAUGUCUGUGUGCCUGGGCCUUGCUUCAUGCCGUUUCUCUGUUCCUGAACUAUCAUGUCGUGUACAACCCAUAAGGGUCUGAUGAUUUCUGAAAGUUAAUGCAGGCAGCCUGAAAUUCAAUUUCAAUUCUUCCCCCUCCCCCAAAAGAACAGUUGGCACCUCUAUAUGGGGGACACAGUGGUAGAGUUGCUGCCUAGUUCCAGCACUUGCAACCGGAGACCCAGGUUCCCUCCCGACUAUGUUCUCCCCAUGACCCACGUGGGCUUUCUCCGACAUCAUCGGUUUCCUCCCACACUCCAAAGACGUACGGGCAUGUAGGCUAAUUGGCUUGGUAGAUGUUUUUAAAAAAUUGUUCCUAGUGUGUGUGUGUGUGUGUGUGUGUGUGUGUGUGUGUGUGUGUGUGUGUGUGUGUGUGUGGGUUGCAGGUCAGCGCAGACCCAUUGGGCUAAAGGGCCUGUUUCCACGCUGUAACUAAACUAAUGGAUGCUUGGCUCGCACCAAUCCUGCUCCUGCUUUUAGCAUGAGUGCCCUGUCCUUCCAAAAUCAAGCCCGAUGGCACCGGGCAGUAGGUGGGCCGACUGGAAUCACUCAACAGCCUUGACUUCCUCCUGGGUCUCUGUCAAUGUAACCAUUCCAUCUUAACCACUGACACAAACGCCAAGAAAAAUGAGGCACAAUUUGUGACUGAUUUUUACCGAUCAUUGUGGGGAAAUUUUCUUUAGUAUCCGCCUUGUUCAUUGGUCCAAUAUUCCACUCUUCCCUGAGAUGGGGGGGGGGUCUCAAAGUGAUUUGACAUCCGCCCUGUUACUAAAGGUGUCUUGUCUCUCCGGCCCUGUUCUCUAGGCUGCUGGGAAGCUCAUUAAGUUAACCCUUGGAGUGUGGUGGUUACAUUCUGUCACGUUUUUUUUUAAAAUAAUAAUAAUAAUAAUCUUUAUUUAUAUAGCACUUUUCAACAAAACCAGUAUUUGAACCAAAGUGCUUUACAGAGUUUGAUUAAAUUAAUAGAACAGACCAAAUGUCAAUAUAUCCAUACAAAACAAAAAAGUGAAAAAAGAAAAAAGAAAAAAAAAAAAAAAAAAAGAAUUUUGUUUAAAUUGGCUGCCUAUACUCCCAUACUCUCCUCAUGUGGAAAAGGGCUUCUAUUUUUGUGUGCUGCCCAAUGUGGUCUCUGCUUGCUGCCCGUGUACGGGAAGACAGGUCAGAAAGUCCUUCACAAACGGUCAGCCAUAUUGUUAUCGCUGUCAAAUCCAAUCUGCUGUAAAAAUGCAGAGCACGAUUCAGAUUCAGAUUCAGAUUCAAUUUAAUUGUCAUUGUCAGUGUACAGUACAGAGACAACGAAAAUGCAUUAGAGACAACGAAAUUCGAUGCUGCUGAUUUGUUGUGAACAGUAAAAAUUGAUAUGAUGAAUGUUCGUCAUCGCUGGAUCCAGUGUCUGCCUGCAUGGGGUGGGCUUCAGCGAUGUGAUUUUGCGAGUUGCUGCUUUCACAGGUGUCCGUCCGUGAAGGGAAAGUGAUGUAAAGACAAUUGAUGGUGCUCAGCACAUCAGGCUGCGGGUGCGGGCGGUGUUCUCCGACCAGCACUCGGUGCUGAGAGGCAACGUGGCCUCUGUGAAAGCAGAGCCCCUCGACCGCUGUUUCGACCUGUUUGGCCAGGCCAACACCAUCUUGAAAUCCCGCG